GGGAUUAGCUAGUUGGUGAGGUAAGGGCUCACCAAGGCGACGAUCCCUAGCUGGUCUGAGAGGAUGAUCAGCCACACUGGAACUGAGACACGGUCCAGACUCCUACGGGAGGCAGCAGUGGGGAAUAUUGCACAAUGGGCGCAAGCCUGAUGCAGCCAUGCCGCGUGUGUGAAGAAGGCCUUCGGGUUGUAAAGCACUUUCAGUCGUGAGGAAGGUGGUGUAGUUAAUAGCUGCAUCAUUUGACGUUAGCGACAGAAGAAGCACCGGCUAACUCCGUGCCAGCAGCCGCGGUAAUACGGAGGGUGCGAGCGUUAAUCGGAAUUACUGGGCGUAAAGCGCAUGCAGGUGGUUUGUUAAGUCAGAUGUGAAAGCCCGGGGCUCAACCUCGGAAUAGCAUUUGAAACUGGCAGACUAGAGUACUGUAGAGGGGGGUAGAAUUUCAGGUGUAGCGGUGAAAUGCGUAGAGAUCUGAAGGAAUACCGGUGGCGAAGGCGGCCCCCUGGACAGAUACUGACACUCAGAUGCGAAAGCGUGGGGAGCAAACAGGAUUAGAUACCCUGGUAGUCCACGCCGUAAACGAUGUCUACUUGGAGGUUGUGGCCUUGAGCCGUGGCUUUCGGAGCUAACGCGUUAAGUAGACCGCCUGGGGAGUACGGUCGCAAGAUUAAAACUCAAAUGAAUUGACGGGGGCCCGCACAAGCGGUGGAGCAUGUGGUUUAAUUCGAUGCAACGCGAAGAACCUUACCUACUCUUGACAUCCAGAGAACUUUCCAGAGAUGGAUUGGUGCCUUCGGGAACUCUGAGACAGGUGCU
Molecule: ribosomal RNA, 813 nt
Filed under: Vibrio neocaledonicus
Lineage: Bacteria; Pseudomonadati; Pseudomonadota; Gammaproteobacteria; Vibrionales; Vibrionaceae
Description: bacterial SSU rRNA
Rfam family: Bacterial small subunit ribosomal RNA
Source: RNAcentral